AAAAUCCGUCGACUUUAUAAGUCGUG
RNAcentral lists this transfer RNA (26 nucleotides) under Poa pratensis (Kentucky bluegrass). RNAcentral's name for it is "partial tRNA-Leu". The record is from RNAcentral. Lineage: Eukaryota; Viridiplantae; Streptophyta; Magnoliopsida; Poales; Poaceae.